AGGCACAGUGGGAUAGGUGAGUUACUAGAGAUUCUAGGGAGUAUUAUAAAUGGUUUUGCAUUACCCAUGAAAGAGGAACACAAGUUAUUCCUUGUUCGGGCACUCAUACCACUGCACAAGCCGAAAUCAGUUGCAAUGUAUCAUCAGCAGUUAUCCUACUGUAUUGUUCAGUUUGUUGAAAAGGAUUAUAAGUUGUCUGAUACGGUUAUAAGGGGUUUGUUGAAAUACUGGCCUGUCACUAAUUGCCAA
This 249-nucleotide unclassified non-coding RNA is filed under the name Hevea brasiliensis (rubber tree). Lineage: Eukaryota; Viridiplantae; Streptophyta; Magnoliopsida; Malpighiales; Euphorbiaceae. The record is from RNAcentral.